CCUACGGGAGGCAGCAGUAGGGAAUCUUUCACAAUGGGCGAAAGCCUGAUGGAGCAACGCCGCGUGCAGGAUGAAGGCCUUCGGGUUGUAAACUGCUUUUAUAAGCGAGAAAUAUGAUGGUAACUUAUGAAUAAGGAUCGGCUAACUACGUGCCAGCAGCCGCGGUCAUACGUAGGAUCCGAGCAUUAUCCGGAGUGACUGGGUGUAAAGAGUUGCGUAGGUGGAAUAAUAAGUAGCGAGUGAAAUCUGGUGGCUCAACCAUUCAGACUAUUAGGUAAACUGUUAAGCUCGAGACCGUUAGAGGUAGCUGGAAUUUCUAGUGUAGGAGUGAAAUGCGUAGAUAUUAGGAGGAACACCAGUAGCGUAGGCAGGUUACUGGAACGGUUCUGACGCUAAGGCACGAAAGCGUAGGGAGCAAACGGGAUUAGAUACCCCUGUAGUC
This 442-nucleotide ribosomal RNA is filed under the name uncultured bacterium. RNAcentral's name for it is "partial 16S ribosomal RNA". It matches the Rfam family "Bacterial small subunit ribosomal RNA", at positions 338 to 795 of the family's 1533-position model. The record is from RNAcentral.